This 253-nucleotide ribosomal RNA is filed under the name uncultured bacterium. Its description in RNAcentral is "partial 16S ribosomal RNA". It matches the Rfam family "Bacterial small subunit ribosomal RNA", at positions 524 to 776 of the family's 1533-position model. The record is from RNAcentral.
GACGAAGGGGGCUAGCGUUGUUCGGAAUUACUGGGCGUAAAGCGCGUGUAGGCGGUUGUCCAAGUUGGAUGUGAAAGCCUUGAGCUUAACUCAAGAAAUGCAUUCAGGACUGGAUGACUAGAGGACCGGAGAGGAUAGUGGAAUUCCCAGUGUAGUGGUGAAAUACGUAGAGAUUGGGAAGAACACCAGUGGCGAAGGCGGUUACCUGGAGCUUUGCUGACGCUGAUGCGCGAAAGCGUGGGGAGCGAUCCGG